This 244-nucleotide ribosomal RNA is filed under the name uncultured archaeon. Its description in RNAcentral is "partial 16S ribosomal RNA". It matches the Rfam family "Archaeal small subunit ribosomal RNA", at positions 679 to 922 of the family's 1478-position model. The record is from RNAcentral.
ACCAGAACGGACCUGACGGCAAGGGACGAAAGCUAGGGGCACGAACCGGAUUAGAUACCCGGGUAGUCCUAGCCGUAAACGAUACUCGCUAGGUGUCGGCCACGGUGCGACCGUUGUCGGUGCCGUAGGGAAGCCGUGAAGCGAGCCACCUGGGAAGUACGGCCGCAAGGCUGAAACUUAAAGGAAUUGGCGGGGGAGCACCACAACGGGUGGAGCUUGCGGUUUAAUUGGAUUCAACGCCGGA